Molecule: small nuclear RNA, 161 nt
Organism: Tupaia belangeri (northern tree shrew)
Lineage: Eukaryota; Metazoa; Chordata; Mammalia; Scandentia; Tupaiidae
Gene: U1
Rfam family: U1 spliceosomal RNA
About the family: U1 is a small nuclear RNA (snRNA) component of the spliceosome (involved in pre-mRNA splicing).
Source: Ensembl
AGACUUCCCUGUCAGGGGUGAUACCAUGACCACAAAGGUGGUUUUCCCAUGGCAAGGCUUAUCCACUUCACACCAGUUGUGCUGACCUCUGCAAUGUCCCCAAAUGUGGGAAACUCAGUUGCAUUAUUUUUAAUAGUGAGGAACGCAUUCAUGUUUUCUCC